GACGAACGCUGGCGGCGUGCCUCAGACAUGCAAGUCGAACGAUUAAAGCUCUCUUCGGAGAGUGUAUAGAGUGGCGCACGGGUGAGUAACACGUAAGUAAUCUACCCUCGGGUGGGGAAUAACAUCGGGAAACCGAUGCUAAUACCGCAUAAUGCAGCGGCUCCUAAUGGAGACAGUUGUUAAAGGAUUUAUUCGCCUGGGGAGGAGCUUGCGGCAGAUUAGCUAGNGGUAAGGUAAUGGCUUACCAAGGCUACGAUCUGUAGCCGGUCUAAGAGGACGGUCGGUCACACUGACACUGAAUAACGGGUCAGACUCCUACGGGAGGCAGCAGUCGGAAUUUUGGGCAAUGGGCGAAAGCCUGACCCAGCAACGCCGCGUGAAGGGAUGAAGUAUUUCGGUAUGUAAACUUCGAAAGAAUAGGAAGAAUUAAUGACGGUACUAUUUAU
This 446-nucleotide ribosomal RNA is filed under the name uncultured bacterium. RNAcentral's name for it is "bacterial SSU rRNA". It matches the Rfam family "Bacterial small subunit ribosomal RNA", at positions 28 to 485 of the family's 1533-position model. The record is from RNAcentral.